GGGAAUGUAGCUUAAUGGUAGAGUGCUUGCCUAUCAUGCAUGAAACUCUGGGUUUGAUUCCUCAGUACCA
This 70-nucleotide transfer RNA is filed under the name Dipodomys ordii (Ord's kangaroo rat). It matches the Rfam family "tRNA". From Rfam's summary of the family: Transfer RNA (tRNA) molecules are approximately 80 nucleotides in length. The record is from Rfam by way of RNAcentral. Lineage: Eukaryota; Metazoa; Chordata; Mammalia; Rodentia; Heteromyidae.